Molecule: non-coding RNA, 134 nt
Organism: Triticum aestivum (bread wheat)
Lineage: Eukaryota; Viridiplantae; Streptophyta; Magnoliopsida; Poales; Poaceae
Source: Rfam
AAGAUACUCCCUCCGUCCCAAAAUUUGUGUUUUAGAUUUGUCUAGAACGGAUGUACCUAAUACUAAAACAUGACUUGAUACAUCUGUAUUUAGAAAAAUCUAAGACAAGAAUUUUGGGACGGAGGGAGUAUGAU